UUGGUGCUCGCGCAUCUUUCUGAUGUGCGGUUAAACGGGAAACACGAAGCUUUAUCAAAGCCAACGUGUGCUGCCCCCGCAACGGUAAGCAGGUGUCCUUUAUGGACGCGUCGUCCCCAAUACCACUGUGCAAAAGCAUGGGAAGGUAGACGACAGUUUCAGGCGUUGCCUGAAGAACCUGUAGCCCGGAUACCGGCCAAGCGCG
RNAcentral lists this non-coding RNA (205 nucleotides) under uncultured Oxalobacter sp. The record is from RNAcentral. Lineage: Bacteria; Pseudomonadati; Pseudomonadota; Betaproteobacteria; Burkholderiales; Oxalobacteraceae.